UAAUACGGAGGGUGCAAGCGUUAAUCGGAAUUACUGGGCGUAAAGCGCACGCAGGCGGUUUGUUAAGUCAGAUGUGAAAUCCCCGGGCUCAACCUGGGAACUGCAUUUGAAACUGGCAAGCUAGAGUCUCGUAGAGGGGGGUAGAAUUCCAGGUGUAGCGGUGAAAUGCGUAGAGAUCUGGAGGAAUACCGGUGGCGAAGGCGGCCCCCUGGACGAAGACUGACGCUCAGGUGCGAAAGCGUGGGGAGCAAACAGGAUUAGAUACCCUGGUAGUCCACGCUGUAAACGAUGUCGAUUUGGAGGUUGUGCCCUUGAGGCGUGGCUUCCGGAGCUAACGCGUUAAGUCGACCGCCUGGGGAGUACGGCCGCAAGGUUA
Molecule: ribosomal RNA, 376 nt
Filed under: uncultured Serratia sp.
Lineage: Bacteria; Pseudomonadati; Pseudomonadota; Gammaproteobacteria; Enterobacterales; Yersiniaceae
Description: bacterial SSU rRNA
Rfam family: Bacterial small subunit ribosomal RNA
Source: RNAcentral